UUGUGUGGGCAGAAGGGACCUCAAGUUUCACACCUGGCAGUAUUUCCAAAUCAGAUCAGGCUAACCCUCACUUCUGCUGCUUACUGGCUAAGAAGGUUCAUGGCAAACAUCGAGAAGUGGAGAAACAAUGUAAGUUUCAACUCAGGCCAAGCUUAAAGCCAGAAGUCCAGAUGAGUGGCAUAGUCCCACGAACAAAAAUGAUGAAGUAAAAGCAGGUGUAAUAUUCAAAUGCCAAACCAUUUUUGCCUGUGUGAUGGGAGAGUGAUAGUACUUUGUCUGUUUGGAGAAGACAGGAAAGGACCAUCAUGCUGCAGAGGAGGAAGAGGUAAAUCUGUAUAAUCUUCACAUUAAUCCCUCAGGUUUUGGGGGAGAACUGCUAAUUUUGUGGUCCUGGACAAACCACAUGGCCUACACAACCAGGCUAUCUCAGAUAUUGGCUGUACCUUAUUCAUGCUUAUAUAUGGCAAUAUACAGUAGCAUGCCAGAGAAAAGAGACUGUAUUCUGACAAAAAGCUUCAAUUUUAAUGUAUACAUGAACUGAUUUCCAUUAAUACAUCAAGAAUUGGAGACCCUUUCUCUAUCAGAAGCUUGUAUUGCUAUCUGGUAUGAAAUGACUACCACCACUGCACCACCAGUAGAGUGAAGAUACAAGGUUCCUAAAAGAAGUAUCCAAUAUAAAAUUGUUCAACAUUGGCCUUAGCGUUUAAAGGGGAAAGAUCAUCCUCCUCCCAAACACAUUAAAACAAUAAUGCAUAGUGACAAUAAUGAAAUUAUUUCACUUAGAACAAAUGGCAGGCAUUAUCUCCCCUGCUGCAAGUGCCCUUCAGGGUGCAAAGUGCUAGACCACAAAUUCUAUUGCAGUUAAAGUGUGCUGACACUUUGAGACAGGAGGCCGUAUAUAUUACACUGUCAGAGCUAUAAUUUUCAUCACUAUGUAACUUCCAGAUACAACAGAAAGAGUUUCUGGAGUGAGAGUCCCAUUGCAGAGCGCCUGAAUCCGACCCUGGAUUUGCAGAAGAUGCAUGCGCUCCUGAUUAGGCCCAGGCAGAUUUACUUCAUGAGUAACAUGCAGCCUUUCUGAACCUUUGGAGUGAAACCACCACCUAUCCAGAUGAAAACAGUGACUCUGGUGAAGGAGGCCCUCACCUUUCUGAUAAAGCUGUUUGCAGACAGCUCCAAAGAGUGGCUCUGGGAGAGAAAGCUGAAGAUUUGAACAACAUUCCAAGACAGCCCAGCAUGACACAGAGUGAGACUUGUUGGGGGCCUUGGCCAUCUCUGAUCAGUUGCAGUCUGAAGAUACAAAAUGAGAGAAGCUGUCCACAGCUGGAUCUAGAUGCUCUCUAACUAUCUUCUGCCACAGACAGCCUUUAGGGGUCUCCACAGCAGGACACCAAACAGAGGACUCCAGACCUUUCCCUGACACAGUUAUUAGCUGAAGUGUGUUGAGGCAUGCGGAAACAGAAAACACCUUCCCUGAACUGGAGCUGGUGCUGCCUCUCAGGCUGUCAGUAAUGUUGGUCCUGCCAAGGCACUUGCCUAUUUCCAUCCUUUAUAUUUCCCCUUUUGUCAACUAUACUAAAGAUCUUUCCUCUGCAUUGCUACACAUCAGUGUUUGCAGCUAUCUGCUUUGCUCCUCUGCCAGGAUUUUAUUACUCAGCAGCAGGAACGGCAGAUGCAGACAAGAACCUGCAUCUCUGCUACUCCAGUGUACAAUCUGACACAUUGCACCAUUGGUGCAACAAGGGAGCACAGCAGUGUGGUCUUAUCAGGCAGCUGAGGCACAGAUACACAUGAAUGAAAGGCAGGGUAGGUAGGGACAGCAAUAUCUUAAAUCAUGCCAGAACACUUCAGUGAAAAAUAUCUGUUAAAUAACUAAAUUGAUCAUCUGCUAUCCAUAUGCAUUCAUAUUUACUCAAAGUAAAUAAGGUACACAAAAUUGUAAUUCAAACAUUACAUCAGAAAGUCCUUAACUUAUCCACCUUCCUAAAUUACUUUUAUAAAAGCAUUUGUUAGGGUUCUUUUUUACAUUACAAACAUUAUUUUUCAGUUUUCAUUAACGAAAGUUAGUUGCAUAUGAUGUCAUGCUGACUGUUCACCAUUCAUUUGUUCAUUAGGUUACUUUUACACAACUAGCUAAAGAAAUACUAAGGAAGACUAAAAAUGGGUUUCUCAGUCUUCAACUGGACACAUAUUUCUCUCUGAGAAGCAGAAAGCAUACAUCAGUAAACAAUCCUCUAUUAUGGCAAUAAUGAAUGACAUAAAAGACAGUCUAAAAUGAAGCCAAACUAUAAUAAUUCAAGAACAUACCAGCUCCAGGGGUUAUACAGAAAUCCAGAUAAUUUGGAGCAGGGAACCUGUGUUUCCACAGGAGGUAUACAAAAAGUUGUGGUGGAGAGAAGGAAGCCACUUCAUUUGUGGGACAUCAAUAGCAGCUGGUUUGCUCUUGGGCUCAGUCACUGCUGUAAGUCUCCUUUCCACCUACACAAGCAAGAAGAUUAAGAAAGACACUGGCCCGCAUUCUGGUGAGGAGAGGCUACUUGUUUCAGGAACCACCCCUUGGUCAGGACUGAAUUAUUCAGAAAGAAUAGCUUCAGAAAACAUUUCAUCUACAUUUUGGACUGCAUAAUAAAAGUGUGACACCCAGAAAAGAUGGAUAGAAACUACUGUCUGUCUAGUUAAAUAGUUGGUUCUAGCUGUCUUUCCUCUGUAUCAUUGUACUAUGACAUGGAUCAAGAUCAGAAAAGUUAGAUUUUUUUUCUCAUUUCACAAUUGUAAUUUUGUCAAAAUUAUAUUUUUCAGGGUUUUAACUACUAAUUGAACAUGCAUGCACAGUCAUAAAAACAUUCCAGAGGAAAGAAUAAAAGUCUCAUUUUUACUAUUUUUUACAAUUUUACCAUUGCUCUUUUACUAUUUCCUAGUUCUACAUAAAUUCAGUAACUUUUUCCAUAAUCAGAUCACCCAAUUGGAAGAUGUAGUGUUUCUAUUAAUUGCAGAAAAAUAAAGAACACUGUGAAUGUUUUCAGGCUUCUAGAAGCCCUGAAAUGACCAUAAAAUGCUCAGACUCAAACAGUACAUUGACACAAUGCUUCUAAUGAUUUUAUAUAAUAUUAUUUUUCCUUUUUUUUUUACUGUGAGCUUCAUAACUUUUCCAAAGAUGCCUGGAAAAUGAAGGAGGCUAAGAAAACUACCUUACCUCUGUGAAGAUGCUGUCUGAACCAGCACAUAGAAUCAUAAUAGGUUCUAUACUUGAAAAUUUGCAUUCAUUGCCAUGACACCAAAUCUAAUUUUGUGAUCAGUUUGGAUAAGGACCUCUCUGCCACUGACUGACCUUCCAUCAGCUGUCCACUGCUAAAGCAAACACAAGUCAGUGUUACUCAAUUCUCAAAAGUGUAAGAUAACAGUAGAUGGAAGCUAAACAAUCUACCCACUCUCCUUUGUGAUAUCAUAUCUGAACAAAGUGAUAUAUUUUGAAAAGACUCCUCAGGACCAUUUAUUUAGUGACUU
This is a long non-coding RNA of Zonotrichia leucophrys gambelii, 3504 nucleotides long. RefSeq lists it as uncharacterized. The record is from RefSeq and is a predicted model, not a curated record. The transcript is spliced from 4 exons. Lineage: Eukaryota; Metazoa; Chordata; Aves; Passeriformes; Passerellidae.